This 301-nucleotide ribosomal RNA is filed under the name uncultured bacterium. Its description in RNAcentral is "partial 16S ribosomal RNA". It matches the Rfam family "Bacterial small subunit ribosomal RNA", at positions 509 to 807 of the family's 1533-position model. The record is from RNAcentral.
CAGCAGCCGCGGUAAUACGUAGGUGGCAAGCGUUGUCCGGAAUUAUUGGGCGUAAGGCGCGCGCAGGUGGUUUAAUAAGUCUGAUGUGAAAGCCCACGGCUCAACCGUGGAGGGUCAUUGGAAACUGUUAAACUUGAGUGCAGGAGAGAAAAGUGGAAUUCCUAGUGUAGCGGUGAAAUGCGUAGAGAUUAGGAGGAACACCAGUGGCGAAGGCGGCUUUUUGGCCUGUAACUGACACUGAGGCGCGAAAGCGUGGGGAGCAAACAGGAUUAGAUACCCGGGUAGUCCCUGUCUCUUAUAC